Molecule: long non-coding RNA, 2192 nt
Filed under: Schistocerca americana (American grasshopper)
Lineage: Eukaryota; Metazoa; Arthropoda; Insecta; Orthoptera; Acrididae
Description: uncharacterized LOC124612370
Source: RNAcentral
UCCACGAAAAAUACAAGACUGGAGUAGAAGGGAGAACUGACAGGUACUCAAGGUACCCUCCGCCACACACCAUCAGGUGGUUUGCGGUGUAUGGAUGUAGAUGUAGAUGUAGACACAUAGACAACUGUUUUUCCCUCAUUCAGUUUGUGAAUGGAAUAGGAAAGGAAAUGAUUAGUAGUGGUCCAGGGUACCCUCCUCCAAAUGCCUUAUGGUCGCUUGUGGAGUAUCUGUGCAGAUGUAGUUAUAGACUUACACUACCACUUCGAGAACUGUACAUAUUAUUGUUCCAGAAGAACUUUGAUGCAACUGCAAAAUUUGUCAAAUCAACUUUAUUGCUUCAGUCAUCUCAGAAAGAGGUAGUGCUUACAGUCAAACAUCAUCUUAACUGCUGUUAUACAUCGUGCCACUAUAAGAUAGUUACGUCUUUGUGGAAAUAUCGAAUGUUGUGACAAAGGUUGGGAAGAACAUCGUCGUAACUGGCAGUUGUGUUUUUCAGUUUGAUGAGUGAAGUAACAUAUCCAGUGAAACGACAAUGCAAGUGUUGAAUAGUGGGAAUUGAGAGUCGCUUCAACUCAUGUCCUGGAUGUGAUAAUGAUGGACAAAAAGAGUGAUCAAACAAAGAAGAUCAUGCACCUUGCUGUUGAAGGGCUAAUGGAAGAUAACAAAAAGACAAGGGAGAUACAUUUUUUUGUGAGAAGUGAAACACAAACAUGAUCCAGCACUUUAGAGGAACAGCCAUCAAUCCCACAUUGUGAAAUAACAAAAAACAAGUGAGCAAGGUGGAGCCACAGACAUCAACAUCAAAUCAUAAGUUCAACGUGACACAAAUGACGGAAGCUUCAAGUGUGUAUGUGAUUGAAAGGGCAAACACGACAAAAUCUGUUUUGAAAAGAUUAACAUUGACAACUCCUUUGCUGAACAGCAAUUCUGAAAGCAGUUCAGAUUUGUCCUCUGGUUCAAGCGACAAUUAUCAACUGUCAAGCAACAAUGACUACUAUCAACCAUCAAGCAGCGAUGAAUCGUAAAAUUCAAGUGAAAGAUCACUCACCAACAAAGAAAAAUGUCCCAUUAAAAAACCUAAAGAAAGAAUGCAGAAUGUUAGUGAUUGCCAGAGUAAAAGCUAAAACAUUGAGAAACAGUGAAAAAAUUAUAUAACAAGAACAAGCAAAAUUGUCAAGGCUCAAAAAAUGGGUGCUGCGUGUACAGAUAAAUGUAUCCUCUCUUUACAUAGAAAGUGGUAGAACACAACAGGCAUCAGCUGUCCAUGAGCUCCUGGGUGCUGGGAACAUUACAAAGCCAACGGGAUUUUCUGAAUUCAUGCAUUGACACACUCAUUCUCAAAUAUCAUCGCAUUACUGCCAGAGAAGCUAGAAAGCUGAACCGCUUUCUAUUUGAUGAAAGAUGAGCAGAAGAUUCAUGUGUGUAAAACUUUCUGAUAAACGCUUUGGAAAUAAUGGAAAGGCAAGUCCGUACUGUUAUCAAGGGGAAAAUGACUGGACUGAGAUGGCACCUGCGGACAAAAUGGCCCAACAUGAAAAGCAUUGUAAGACUGAUCAAAAAAUCUUGGAGUCAUGUAGGAAUCACAUAAUGUCAAUUCCCUUUAUUGAGAGUCACUUUGCAAGGCGUGACAUAACAAGAGCUUUAUCGACGGUAGCUUAUCCAUCACUGAAAUGCACAGAGAUUACUCUUCAGCAUGAUGUUCCAUUAACCUGCCAGCUGUGAAUUAUGACACUUGAAUGCAUAUAUUCAAUCCUGAAUUUAAUAUUGGAUUUCUUUGCACCAAAGGGAAAUCAGUGCGUCCAAUGUGAAGUUUACAAAAAGCUACAGAUGAAGAGAAAGCAGAAAUACAAGAUGCAUUUCAAGAACAUCAGGAAGAAAAGAACUGAGUCACAUGGAAAAAAACAUGGACAAGGAGAUACAACUAGCUGUUCAUGAUUUAAAAGCUGUCUUACUAGUGCCUACAGGACAAACAGCUGCCUUUUUCUACAAAUCAAGGCACGACAGUUUCACAGUGCCUAAGUAUUGCAAGGGUUUCUGUGAUUCUCUUUCCACAUAAAUGUAAUGUGUUGCUUUUUAUAUCACUUGUUUGGAAGUUCUUUCUUUUGCUGAGUGUAUUACUUUAUUUCAUUUAUAAGAUACAAAUAAUAAAAAUGAUACUAGAACAAUGAAACUCUGUAAGAAUGACCAAAAAC